GGUCAAGUGACUAAGGGUCCAUGGUGGAUGCCUUGGAGCUAUCCGACGAUGAAGGCCGUGGUAAGCUGCGAAAAGCUGAGAUAAGGAGCAAACAUCCGUUUUACUCUCAGAUUGCCGAAUGGGGUAACCCGGCAGUUUUAAUAACUGUCAUACUCAGGUGAAUACAUAGCCUGUUUAAGUGAGACUCAGGGAACUGAACCAUCUAAGUACCUGAAGGAAAAGAAAUCAAUUGAGAUUCCCUUAGUAGCGGCGAGCGGACGGGGAAUAGCCCAAACCAUGAUAAUUUCGGUUGUUGUGGGGUUGUAGGGCCACCUAUAUGAGAGUAAGAAACCAGUUUGUUAGCGGAAGGUCUCUGGGAAGAGCCACCGAAGAGGGUGAAAGUCCCGUAUGCGAAAAUGAACUGGCUCUCAGGUGGUACCUGAGUACAGCGGAGCACGAGAAAUUCUGCUGGAAUCCGGGGGGACCACCCUCCAAGGCUAAAUACGAGAUAGCUACCGAUAGUGAAUUAGUACCGUGAGGGAAAGGUGAAAAGAACCCCGGGAGGGGAGUGAAAUAGAACCUGAAACCGUGGACCUACAAGCGGUCAAAGCAUGUAUUUAUAUGUGUGAUGGCGUGCCUUUUGUAGAAUGAGCCUGCGAGUUACGAUAUGCAGCAAGGUUAAGGAAUAGAAGUUCCGGAGCCGGAGGGAAACCGAGUGUGAAUAGUGCGAAUUAGUUGUAUGUCGUAGACCCGAAGCCGAGUGAUCUAUCCAUGAGCAGGUUGAAGCUUGAGUAAAAUCAAGUGGAGGACCGAACACUAGUCUGUUGAAAAAGGCUGUGAUGACUUGUGGAUUGGAGUGAAAGGCUAAUCAAACUCGGAGAUAGCUGGUACUCCUCGAAAUGGUUUUAGGAUCAGCCUCAUAUGAUUUUUUGCGGAGGUAGAGCACUGAUUAGGCUAGGGCCCUUCACCGGGUACCAAACUUAGUUAAACUCCGAAUGCCGUAAAACAAAAUAUGGGAGUGAGACUGUGGGUGAUAAGAUCCAUGGUCGAAAGGGAAAGAGCCCAGACCGUCAGCUAAGGUCCCUAAACUAUGCUAAGUGGAAAAGGAAGUACGAUUGCCCAGACAGCCAGGAGGUUGGCUUAGAAGCAGCCACUCCUUUAAAGAGUGCGUAAUAGCUCACUGGUCGAGUAGUCGUGCGCCGACAAUGUAACGGGGCUAAGCAUAGUACCGAAGCUACGGAUCAAUGCAUUUAUGUAUUGGUGGUAGAGGAGCGUUCUUUAGGCCGAUGAAGGUGUUCUGUAAGGAAUGCUGGAGGUAUAAGAAGUGAGAAUGCAGGCAUGAGUAACGAAUAGGCAGGUGAGAUCCCUGCCCGCCGAAAACCUAAGGUUUCCUGGGUAAAGGUAAUCUUCCCAGGGUUAGUCGGCCCCUAAGGCGAGGCAGAAAUGCGUAGCCGAUGGGAAACGGAUUAAUAUUUCCGUACUUCUGUUAAUUGCGAUGGGAUGACGCAUAAGGAAAAGCAUAGCCGGACAUUGGUUGUUCCGGUCCAAGCAACAAGGUGUUGAGGAGAGCAGGUAAAUCCACUUUCCGAGCUGAGUUGUUAAGGGUAUUGAACCUACGGGGGAUAGAAUUAUGUGGACUCAUGGUGCCAAGAAAUAGUCUCUAAGCUUCAGAUUAACAGGAACCGUACCGCAAACCGACACAGGUAGGUAGGAUGAGUAUUCUAAGGCGUACGGGAGAACUCACGUUAAGGAACUCGGCAAAAUGCAUGCGUAACUUCGGGAGAAGCAUGGCCUAGCGCGUAAUGGCGAGGUUGCAGAGUCCAGGUCCAAUCGACUGUUUACCAAAAACACAGGUCACUGCGAAUCUGCAAAGAGAAGUAUAGUGACUGACACCUGCCCGGUGCUGGAAGGUUAAGAGGAGUUGUUAGCCCUUGUGGUGAAGCAGCGAAUUGAAGCCCCAGUAAACGGCGGCCGUAACUAUAACGGUCCUAAGGUAGCGAAAUUCCUUGUCGGGUAAGUUC
RNAcentral lists this ribosomal RNA (2000 nucleotides) under Spirochaetales bacterium. RNAcentral describes it as "partial 23S ribosomal RNA". It matches the Rfam family "Bacterial large subunit ribosomal RNA", at positions 1 to 1983 of the family's 2925-position model. Lineage: Bacteria; Pseudomonadati; Spirochaetota; Spirochaetia; Spirochaetales. The record is from RNAcentral.